UUCUUCUUCCAAAUACUAUAGUAACUAAUGUAAGUAUUUCAUUAAAAAUAAAUUCUGAAAUUGCACAUCUAGUUUAAUUGAAUUGACCAUGCAAUAAUUCCUCUCAAAAUAAGCUUUGAGCUAACCACCUAACAUCCAACCCACACAUUAAAGAAGAAAGUAACAAAUUAUCAUAAUCCAGAAAUGGGACAUGCUUAUGGAAAAGGAAACAUGUAAUUUCACCAGUUUGCCAUCAAUUUUUCUUUAUCCUAGUUCAUUAAUAAAAGUGAGUUUACAACUUUGCAAAAAACUUCCUUCUACCAAG
RNAcentral lists this unclassified non-coding RNA (304 nucleotides) under Hevea brasiliensis (rubber tree). The record is from RNAcentral. Lineage: Eukaryota; Viridiplantae; Streptophyta; Magnoliopsida; Malpighiales; Euphorbiaceae.